UUGCGCGAGCUGAAGCCCUUUGGGCGACGGGUGCUUUUAUUAGACCAAGAUCGAUCGGGUUUCGGCCCGUAUUGUGUGGUGACUCUGGAUAACUUUGUGCUGAUCGCAUGGCCACGAGCCGGCGACGUUUCUUUCAAGUGUCUGCCUUAUCAACUUUCGAUGGUAGGUUACUUGCUUACCAUGGUUGUUACGGGUAACGGAGAAUCAGGGUUCGAUUCCGGAGAGGGAGCCUGAGAAACGGCUACCACAUCCAAGGAAGGCAGCAGGCGCGCAAAUUACCCACUCCCGGCACGGGGAGGUAGUGACGAAAAAUAACAAUACGGGACUCUUUUGAGGCCCCGUAAUUGAAAUGAGUACACUCUAAAUCCUUUAACGAGGAUCAAUUGGAGGGCAAGUCUGGUGCCAGCAGCCGCGGUAAUUCCAGCUCCAAUAGCGUAUACUAAAGCUGCUGCGGUUAAAAAGCUCGUAGUUGGAUCUCAGUUCCAGACGAGUAGUGCAUCUACCCGAUGCGACGGCUCGGACUGAACAUCAUGCCGGUCCUUUCUUGGUGCACUUCAUUGUGUGCCUCGAGAAGGCCGGUGCUUUUACUUUGAAAAAAUUAGAGUGCUCAACGCAGGCGAGUCGCCUGAAUAAACUUGCAUGGAAUAAUAGAACAAGACCUCGUUUCUGUUCUGUUGGUUUUUGGAAUACGAGGUAAUGAUUAAGAGGACCCGGACGGGA
This 720-nucleotide ribosomal RNA is filed under the name Dermacentor nuttalli. Its description in RNAcentral is "SSU rRNA". It matches the Rfam family "Eukaryotic small subunit ribosomal RNA", at positions 173 to 888 of the family's 1831-position model. Lineage: Eukaryota; Metazoa; Arthropoda; Arachnida; Ixodida; Ixodidae. The record is from RNAcentral.